This 253-nucleotide ribosomal RNA is filed under the name uncultured bacterium. RNAcentral describes it as "partial 16S ribosomal RNA". It matches the Rfam family "Bacterial small subunit ribosomal RNA", at positions 524 to 776 of the family's 1533-position model. The record is from RNAcentral.
GACGAACCGAGCGAACGUUGUUCGGAAUCACUGGGCUUAAAGGGCGCGUAGGCGGGUUCGCCAGUCCGUGGUGAAAUCCUCCGGCUCAACCGGAGAACUGCCUCGGAUACUGCGGGCCUCGAGGGUGGUAGGGGUAUGCGGAACUAUCGGUGGAGCGGUGAAAUGCGUUGAUAUCGAUAGGAACUCCGGUGGCGAAGGCGGCAUACUGGACCACUUCUGACGCUGAGGCGCGAAAGCCAGGGGAGCAAACGGG